AUCACCAGGGGCCCAAUAUUAUAGUAUGUAAUCUUUGUCAUUUGGAUCUAAUUUUUAGGGGCAUACAAUCUUGAAUAAAAAGUUAAUCCUUUUGAAGUACUUAUAGCUAGAAUGUAAACCAUAAUAAGUUUGAAUACUAGCUUCAUGCUGUAAACUAGGGAAGGCAGCAGAGGAGCUUACCUCCUAAAGGAAAAGAGAUAAAAAUGAGAGCUUCUUCUUUUGCUUAAUGGAAAAGACAUCGAGCUACAUCCUAUACCCAAACCA
This 264-nucleotide unclassified non-coding RNA is filed under the name Hevea brasiliensis (rubber tree). The record is from RNAcentral. Lineage: Eukaryota; Viridiplantae; Streptophyta; Magnoliopsida; Malpighiales; Euphorbiaceae.